This 270-nucleotide ribosomal RNA is filed under the name uncultured bacterium. RNAcentral describes it as "partial 16S ribosomal RNA". It matches the Rfam family "Bacterial small subunit ribosomal RNA", at positions 84 to 354 of the family's 1533-position model. The record is from RNAcentral.
UUGGCGUUUUAGUGGCGGACGGGUGAGUAACGCGUGGGUAACCUGCCGUAUACCGGGGGAUAACACCUGGAAACAGGUGCUAAUACCGCAUAAGCGCACGGGACCGCAUGGUCCAGUGUGAAAAACCGAGGUGGUAUGCGAUGGACCCGCGUCUGAUUAGCCAGUUGGCAGGGUAACGGCCUACCAAAGCGACGAUCAGUAGCCGGCCUGAGAGGGUGGACGGCCACAUUGGGACUGAGACACGGCCCAAACUCCUACGGAAGGCAGCAG